UGGGGAAUUUUGCGCAAUGGACGAAAGUCUGACGCAGCAACGCCGCGUGGGUGAUGAAGGUCUUCGGACUGUAAAACCCUGUCGUCAGGGACGAAGGUGUGCAUGUUAAUAGCGUGUGCGCUUGACGGUACCUGGAGAGGAAGCCCCGGCUAACUCUGUGCCAGCAGCCGCGGUAAUACAGAGGGGGCAAGCGUUAUUCGGAAUUAUUGGGCGUAAAGGGCGCGUAGGCGGUUUAUCAAGUCAGAUGUGAAAGCCCUGGGCUCAACCUGGGAAGUGCAUUUGAAACUAGUAGACUUGAGUAUGGGAGAGGGAAGUGGAAUUCCUGGCGUAGAGGUGAAAUUCGUAGAUAUCAGGAGGAACACCGGUGGCGAAGGCGGGUCUCUGGGCAGUAACUGACGCUGAGGAGCGAAAGCGUGGGGAGCAAACAGG
RNAcentral lists this ribosomal RNA (429 nucleotides) under uncultured bacterium. Its description in RNAcentral is "bacterial SSU rRNA". It matches the Rfam family "Bacterial small subunit ribosomal RNA", at positions 355 to 776 of the family's 1533-position model. The record is from RNAcentral.